UAAAGUGGCGCACGGGUGAGUAACACGUGGAUAACCUUCCCUUGAGCGGGGGAUAACAUUCCGAAAGGAGUGCUAAUACCGCAUAAGACCACGGCCUCGAAAGAGGCUGAGGUCAAAGCAGGCCUCUUCAUGAAAGCUUGCACUCGAGGAUGGGUCCGCGUCCCAUCAGCUAGUUGGCAGGGUAAUGGCCUACCAAGGCGAAGACGGGUAGCUGGUCUGAGAGGAUGAUCAGCCACACUGGAACUGAGACACGGUCCAGACUCCUACGGGAGGCAGCAGUGGGGAAUCUUGCGCAAUGGACGAAAGUCUGACGCAGCGACGCCGCGUGGGUGAUGAAGGCCUUCGGGUUGUAAAGCCCUGUGGGGAGAGAAGAAUUAGUGGAAGCUAAUACCUUCCAUGAUGACGGUAUCUCCUUAGCAAGCACCGGCUAACUCUGUGCCAGCAGCCGCGGUAA
This 454-nucleotide ribosomal RNA is filed under the name uncultured delta proteobacterium. Its description in RNAcentral is "bacterial SSU rRNA". It matches the Rfam family "Bacterial small subunit ribosomal RNA", at positions 91 to 523 of the family's 1533-position model. The record is from RNAcentral. Lineage: Bacteria; Deltaproteobacteria.